RNAcentral lists this transfer RNA (68 nucleotides) under Astralium haematragum. RNAcentral describes it as "tRNA-Val". The record is from RNAcentral. Lineage: Eukaryota; Metazoa; Mollusca; Gastropoda; Trochida; Turbinidae.
UAAGAUAUAGCAUAAGUAAUGCUUUUCACUUACACUGAAAUGAUGGCUAAGGUAGUAGCCUGUCUUAA